UUGCCGGUUCUCCAGUGGUUAUCCCCAUUGUGGAAGGCGACUAUGCCCCUGAAGAUCAAGAUUUUCGUUUGGCAGCUUCUCAGAUAUAGUUUACCUUCGGGAACCGAGGUGCUGAAACGCCAUGGUCCGGGCAAUGGCCUUUGCCCCCUCUGCCACGUGCCGGAAACGGGAACGCAUAUUUUGUUCUCAUGCGUAGAAGCGCAGGCACAUUGGUGCUUUGUUCGUGAGGCUCUGGGACCGGAGUGGGAGGCCCAUGACCUUGCAGAGUUUCUGUAG
RNAcentral lists this ribosomal RNA (276 nucleotides) under Triticum aestivum (bread wheat). RNAcentral describes it as "partial small subunit ribosomal RNA". Lineage: Eukaryota; Viridiplantae; Streptophyta; Magnoliopsida; Poales; Poaceae. The record is from RNAcentral.